RNAcentral lists this ribosomal RNA (719 nucleotides) under Chloroflexota bacterium. RNAcentral describes it as "bacterial SSU rRNA". It matches the Rfam family "Bacterial small subunit ribosomal RNA", at positions 1 to 737 of the family's 1533-position model. Lineage: Bacteria; Bacillati; Chloroflexota. The record is from RNAcentral.
CCAAACGGAGAGUUUGAUCCUGGCUCAGGAUAAACGCUGGCGGCGUGCCUUACGCAUGCAAGUCGAACGAAGCUCCUUCCUUCGGGGAGGAUGACUGAGUGGCAAACGGCUGAGUAACGCGUAGGUGAUCUGCCCCGAGGAGGGGAACAACUCGUCGAAAGGCGAGCUAAUACUCCAUGUGCCCGUGGGUUCAGCCCCGCGGGGAAAGCUCCGGCGCCUUGGGAGGAACCUGCGUCCGAUUAGUUUGUUGGUGGGGUAACGGCCUACCAAGACCACCAUCGGUAGCUGGUCUGAGAGGAUGAUCAGCCAGACUGGGACUGAGAGACGGCCCAGACUCCUACGGGAGGCAGCAGCGAGGAAUCUUGCGCAAUGGGCGAAAGCCUGACGCAGCAACGCCGCGUGGGUGAAGAAGGCCUUCGGGUCGUAAAUCCCUUUUGCCGGGGAAGAACCCUGACGGUACCCGGCGAAUAAGCCACGGCUAACUACGUGCCAGCAGCCGCGGUAAUACGUAGGUGGCGAGCGUUAUCCGGAUUUACUGGGCGUAAAGCGUACGUAGGCGGUUCGGCAAGUCUGUCGUGAAAUCUCCCGGCUUAACCGGGAGCGGUCGAUGGAAACUGCCGGACUUGAGGGACGUAGAGGUGAGCGGAAUUCCCGGUGUAGUGGUGAAAUGCGUAGAUAUCGGGAGGAACACCAGUGGCGAAAGCGGCUCACUAGGCGUU